UACGGGGGGGGGCAAGCGUUGUUCGGAAUUACUGGGCGUAAAGGGCUCGCAGGCGGCCGACUAAGUCAGACGUGAAAUCCCUUGGCUUAACCAAGGAAUGGCGUCUGAUACUGGACGGCUUGAAUCCGGGAGAGGGAUGUGGAAUUCCAGGUGUAGCGGUGAAAUGCGUAGAUAUCUGGAGGAACACCGGUGGCGAAGGCGGCAUCCUGGACCGGUAUUGACGCUGAGGAGCGAAAGCCAGGGGAGCAAACGGG
Molecule: ribosomal RNA, 254 nt
Filed under: uncultured bacterium
Lineage: Bacteria
Description: partial 16S ribosomal RNA
Rfam family: Bacterial small subunit ribosomal RNA
Source: RNAcentral